RNAcentral lists this transfer RNA (84 nucleotides) under Tuwongella immobilis. RNAcentral's name for it is "Planctomycetes bacterium MBLW1 tRNA". It matches the Rfam family "tRNA". From Rfam's summary of the family: Transfer RNA (tRNA) molecules are approximately 80 nucleotides in length. Their secondary structure includes four short double-helical elements and three loops (D, anti-codon, and T loops). Further hydrogen bonds mediate the characteristic L-shaped molecular structure. tRNAs have two regions of fundamental functional importance: the anti-codon, which is responsible for specific mRNA codon recognition, and the 3' end, to which the tRNAs corresponding amino acid is attached (by aminoacyl-tRNA synthetases). tRNAs cope with the degeneracy of the genetic code in two manners: having more than one tRNA (with a specific anti-codon) for a particular amino acid; and 'wobble' base-pairing, i.e. permitting non-standard base-pairing at the 3rd anti-codon position. Lineage: Bacteria; Pseudomonadati; Planctomycetota; Planctomycetia; Gemmatales; Gemmataceae. The record is from Rfam by way of RNAcentral.
GCGAGAGUGGCGGAAUUGGCAGACGCACAGGACUUAGGAUCCUGUGCCCGCAAGGGCGUGAGGGUUCAAGUCCCUCCUCUCGCA